CCUACGGGAGGCAGCAGUGAGGAAUAUUGGUCAAUGGGCGAGAGCCUGAACCCGCCAAGUAGCGUGAAGGAUGACUGCCCUACGGGUUGUAAACUUCUUUUAUAAAGGAAUAAAGUGCGGCACGUGUGCCUUUUUGUCUGUCCUUUUUGAAUAAGGAUCGGCUACCUCCGUGCCAGCAGCCGCGGUAAUACGGAGGAUCCGAGCGUUAUCCUGAUUUAUUGGGUUUAAAGGGAGCGUAGAUGGGUUGUUAAGUCAGUUGUGAAAGUUUGCGGCUCAACCGUAAAAUUGCAAUUGAUACUGGCAGUCUUGAGUACAGGUGAGGUAGGCGGAAUUCGUGGUGUAGCGGUGAAAUGCUUAGAUAUCACGAAGAACUCCGAUUGCGAAGGCAGCGUACUAAACUGCCACUGACAUUGAUGCUCGAAAGUGUGGGUAUCAAACAGGAUUAGAUACCCCGGUAGUC
This 460-nucleotide ribosomal RNA is filed under the name uncultured bacterium. RNAcentral describes it as "partial 16S ribosomal RNA". It matches the Rfam family "Bacterial small subunit ribosomal RNA", at positions 338 to 795 of the family's 1533-position model. The record is from RNAcentral.